Molecule: ribosomal RNA, 354 nt
Filed under: Staphylococcus aureus
Lineage: Bacteria; Bacillati; Bacillota; Bacilli; Caryophanales; Staphylococcaceae
Description: bacterial SSU rRNA
Rfam family: Bacterial small subunit ribosomal RNA
Source: RNAcentral
UUUUAUGGAGAGUUUGAUCCUGGCUCAGGAUGAACGCUGGCGGCGUGCCUAAUACAUGCAAGUCGAGCGAACGGACGAGAAGCUUGCUUCUCUGAUGUUAGCGGCGGACGGGUGAGUAACACGUGGAUAACCUACCUAUAAGACUGGGAUAACUUCGGGAAACCGGAGCUAAUACCGGAUAAUAUUUUGAACCGCAUGGUUCAAAAGUGAAAGACGGUCUUGCUGUCACUUAUAGAUGGAUCCGCGCUGCAUUAGCUAGUUGGUAAGGUAACGGCUUACCAAGGCAACGCGGCAUAGCCGCCCUGACAGGGCGAACAGACACACCGGAACUGAGAAAGGGUCCAGACUCAUACG